AUUCCCCUCCGCAGUCAGAUACUCGUCUCUCCCGUCAUUCUCCGUCUCAUUCCUCCUCUCCUCUUCCUCUCCUCCCCUCCCUCAGAUCUGCAAGCAGGAGGUGGCCCUGCGCCCGGCGACGAUGCGGCGGGCUCUCAGCCUAGGCAUGGGCCAGGUCCCCAUCCUUCUGUUCGAGCUAUCCCCCCUCCGACGGUGGUGGCGUUUGGGUUGCGCAUCCGCUGCGGCGCUAGGUUCAGCAUCCGCAGCCGUCCAUGCCGCAUGUCCACCUCGUCGACCCACUCCGCGUCCGUGCCGUCUCCCGCGCGCGGCAUGCAGCACCACCUCCGCGACGCCCUCGCCCCACCCGCGCCUCCGCCCCUUCGUCCUCGGCCUCAUCGACGAGAACCACCCACCGCACACGCUAGGCUCGCGCAAGCACGGCGCGGCUCCAGACUUUUCGACGCAAAGCACCGCCCGAGCCAGGGCCCGGAGUCGCAGUCGCUCCCCGGGCGACCGCCGUGCUGAUGCUCUCUCCACCGUUCCAGACUGGAUCUGCGCCAUGGACGUGAGGAACAUCCUUGCUACACGAGCAGUUGUUCUGGUCAGCUGAGUGCUAAAGGGUACCAGCAAACUGAUCUCCUUUGUUCUUGCCACUUCAAGCCAGCUAGGGAGCUAAGAUUCAUCAUAUUUUCUCUUCUGAGAACAGCAUUAGCUUAUGUUGUUGGCUGCCCUCAAGAAAUUUGCUAUUUUGUUCCUAAGGUAAAUGGUGUUAGACCAGAUGUUUGACAAAAUGUUUGAACCACAGAGGAGAGGCAACGACUAUCAUCUUGCUUUGUUUACAUGAGCUUUUUUAUUUUUCAAGGUAACAUUCCUAUCCAAACUGUCCUAUAGUUGCUCUACUACCUCUUGCUGGUAUAUGGCUAUAGAUUAAACUGGUUGAUAAAUAUAUCAUCUUCAAUUUGCUAAUGGCUAAUCUCCAGUUUUCUUCGUUGUGCAUUUCUGGGUGGCCAUGACUUCCUUUUUUUAGACCUGUGCCCAUAACUUAAUAGUUUGACCUAUUAUGCCAUUCAUUUUUGUGCAGAUUUCAGCUUUUGAUUAGAGAGGUAUGAGAAAAUUUGAAGUUGAGAUAUGGAAGGCUGAACCUAUUAUACCAUUCACCUUAAGUGUCUAGUUGUAUCUAGGAUUCACCAUUAGAUACUUUGAUUUCUGUUAUUUCCUUUUCACCUUAAGUUCUAUGGUAGCUCGGUCGAGGAAGGCCACAUCUACGGUAGCUUGGUCGAGGGUGGCGGGAUCCAUGGGUCGUCUCCUGCUCCGAUUCGACUGACUAGGGUUAUUGUUGUGAACCAUCUAUCUUAUGUAUUUUGAUCAUGAGAAGUCUUACGUAAGAUCAAUUUUUAGACCGUUUUAUUGUUUCUUUAACAUCAUUGUGCAAAGUCUUUUAAUGGUUGAAAUGUACCAUUUGUGAAAUAUGGGAUUUGGAAA
Long non-coding RNA from Panicum virgatum (switchgrass), 1461 nucleotides. RefSeq lists it as uncharacterized. Lineage: Eukaryota; Viridiplantae; Streptophyta; Magnoliopsida; Poales; Poaceae. The transcript is spliced from 4 exons. The record is from RefSeq and is a predicted model, not a curated record.